CGCGUAGGCGGUUCUUUAAGUCAGAUGUGAAAGCCCGGGGCUUAACCCCGGAAGUGCAUUUGAAACUGGAGGACUUGAGUAUGGGAGAGGGAAGUGGAAUUCCUGGUGUAGAGGUGAAAUUCGUAGAUAUCAGGAGGAACACCGGUGGCGAAGGCGACUUCCUGGACCAAUACUGACGCUGAGGCGCGAAGGCGUGGGGAGCAAACAGGAUUAGAUACCCUGGUAGUCC
This 229-nucleotide ribosomal RNA is filed under the name uncultured bacterium. RNAcentral's name for it is "partial 16S ribosomal RNA". It matches the Rfam family "Bacterial small subunit ribosomal RNA", at positions 568 to 796 of the family's 1533-position model. The record is from RNAcentral.